This 255-nucleotide ribosomal RNA is filed under the name uncultured bacterium. RNAcentral's name for it is "partial 16S ribosomal RNA". It matches the Rfam family "Bacterial small subunit ribosomal RNA", at positions 524 to 777 of the family's 1533-position model. The record is from RNAcentral.
UACGGAGGAUCCAAGCGUUAUCCGGAUUCAUUGGGUUUAAAGGGUGCGUAGGCGGAAUGAUAAGUCAGUGGUGAAAUCCUGCAGCUUAACUGCAGAACUGCCAUUGAUACUGUCAAUCUUGAGUACAUUUGAUGUGGGCGGAAUGUGUCAUGUAGCGGUGAAAUGCUUAGAUAUGACACAGAACACCGAUUGCGAAGGCAGCUCACAAAACUGUAACUGACGCUGAGGCACGAAAGCGUGGGUAGUCAAACAGGA